Molecule: non-coding RNA, 862 nt
Organism: Paramuricea clavata
Lineage: Eukaryota; Metazoa; Cnidaria; Anthozoa; Malacalcyonacea; Plexauridae
Source: the annotation of a GenBank genome assembly
CUCUGUGACACAGGCUACUUUCCCCAUAAAUGAAAACAAAACUGUAACAACAAAUUAAUAAACUCUUGCGGCAGCCAGGGAGUUCCCUCCACUAUACACUCCUGAAUCUUAAGGCUGAGAAGAUAUCGGUGACCAUAUACGUACUAUUCUGCAUGUUUAGUUUAUUUUUUCGGUCUAUUUUAUAUUGGAACGCAAUAAGUACGUAUAGCGCUUUUAUUAUCACAAAUUAUUUGUUGCAAUUUAAAUGAGGCGAGGGGAAAAUAUGCUAAUUUUGCUUGUGACAAGUGAAGUAAUUCUUGUGGCUGAGAAGAUAUAUUGGUCGCCAUAUACUACUCUUGCAUGUUUAGUUUAUUUUUUCGGUCUAUUUUAUAUUGGAAUCCAAUAACGUAUACGCGCUUUUAUUAUCACAAAUUAUUUGUUGCAAUUUAAAUGAGGCGAGGAAAAAAUAUGCUAAUGUUGCUUGUGGCAAGUGAAGUAAUUCUUGUGGCCAUUAUCAUUUUAAUUAAUCAAACAUGCAAAUCGGACGUCAUUUAUUGAUUUAACAUACAAAAUUUCAAAUAUGAAACAGCUGCUCGGUUACGCAUACACGCGCAUACGUUUGCAAAAAUUAUUUGUAUUGUCUCAAUAAUGAAAAGUCUCAAAUACUGCACCUUUCUUUUAUAUUGCAAGCUUCAAAAAGCAAUUUUAAAUGUAAACUUUCAUUAAUAUAAACACGGCUUGUAAUUUUCUAGUACCUAAAUUAAUGUAACUAUAAAUUGAUUCAUUUGUUUACGAAGUAUUUUAAUAAAGCUAUCUCAUUGAGUUUCAUUUCUUUGUCUGACUAUAGUAAACACUACGCCAGGCAAGGCCAAGGGUAAUAGUU